Molecule: ribosomal RNA, 322 nt
Filed under: uncultured eukaryote
Lineage: Eukaryota
Description: partial 18S ribosomal RNA
Rfam family: Eukaryotic small subunit ribosomal RNA
Source: RNAcentral
CCCUUAGAUGUUCUGGGCCGCACGCGUGCUACACUGAGUGGAUCAGCGGGUCAGGUUGCGCGAAAGUGUUUCCUAAUCUUUAAAUCCGCUCGUGAUGGGGAUUGACGGUUGCAAUUUUCCGUCAUGAACGAGGAAUACCUUGUAAGCGCGGGUCAUCAUCCCGCGCUGAAUACGUCCCUGCCCUUGGUACACACCGCCCGUCGCUCCUACCGAUUGAGUGGUCCGGUGAGGCUUUGGGAUCUGAGCGGAAAGAGCGUUUCGCUGUUUCUGCCCGGAAAACUCAGUCGAACCUUAUCAUUUAGAGGAAGGAGAAGUCGUAACA